This 1512-nucleotide long non-coding RNA is filed under the name Coturnix japonica (Japanese quail). RNAcentral's name for it is "lncRNA (ENSCJPG00005020792.1)". The record is from RNAcentral. Lineage: Eukaryota; Metazoa; Chordata; Aves; Galliformes; Phasianidae.
AUGGCAUCGGCUCCAGGCCUGUGGUCUGACACACAAAAUGCCUUUUUCCUAAGGACUGUUGUGGGAAGCCGAGCACUUUGGCCGGGCACCAACUAUGUUUUGGCUCCCCAGCAGAUAUCAUUUAUCGCCACUCGGACAUUCCAGUGGUUCUCUGCACUGAGGCAGCAGCACAGCCAGCAGCUCAGCACCAUCUCAGCCUGCCCGUGUCACACGGCCCCACACACCCCACAGCAGCGAUGGGGCACAGGAACCGCGCUCACGCCUUCUCUGCUCACCAGCAUUAUUAACAUCACGGCACUGUUUUCCCACCCCUUCACCACCGGAGCAGAACAAACAGGAGAGGAUGUUUGCUCCAAGCAACAACGGAGCUCACACGGGAUUUCUGCAAACAACGAAUGUGGGACGAAGGGUCCUGGGGCGGCCGACACCCCAUGGGCACAUCGCCGCCCCUCGGGGCACCCAGCGCCCAGCACAGCGCCCAGCGCAUCCCGCAGCACAGCGCCCAGCACAGCGCCCAGCACAGCGCCCAGCACAGCGCCCAGCACAGCGCCCAGCACAGCCCCCAGCACAGCCCCCAGCACAGCCCCCAGCACAGCCCCCAGCACAGCGCCCAGCACAGCGCCCAGCACAGCGCCCAGCACAGCCCGCAGCACGGCCGGCUCGGGCCGCACAGCGCCGCCGGGUGCCUGCAGGACGGGCCCAAGUACAAGGCAGGAGCGGGGCUGUGCAGCCGGCGGGGCCGGGCCACAGCUGAGCACAGUGCGGUGCUCGGUUACAGCCGGUGCUAAAAGCGGGCACCGAGGGCGCUACCUGCGACCCGGCACUGCCUGCGACCCGGCACUACCUGCGAUCCGCCCUCAGCAGCCCGUCCCGGCCCGGCCCUGCCGGCACUGCCCGGCCCCGCCGCACAACUUUGGCUGUCACCGCCGCUGGAAGGAGCGGCCGCUUCCCGUCCCGUCCCGUCCCGCUCCCCCGCACCCAACAGCGGAUGAACCAACUUUCCUUCCCGUACUUUCCGCACUUACCGCGGCCGUUCCCCCCCAGCCGCACGGAGCGCGUGCGGGGCGGGCGGAAGCCGCGGCCGAGCAGCGCCCAGGCCGGGCCUUGAGCCCAGCUCAGCUCGAGCUCCCGCCCGGCCCGGCCCCACUCUCCCGCUCGCAGCCCGACGCCGAGGGCGCAGCCCGGCACUCACCUCCUCGGCCGGGCCCGGCUCCGCUCGCCCGGGGCUGCGCGGCCCAUCCGGCGCCAGGCGGCGGGAUGAGCUCAGCGCCUGCGGGAGGCGGCGAGUCCCCGCCCCGCAGCCCACGGCCAACCUCCAACGGAGCGGGAGCGGCUCCGCGGGGCGGGGCGGGAUCCGACACUGCUCGGCCACGGCUCGACCCGCCGGGACGGGCCGCACGGAGCUGGGGCGGGGCCGAGCGGAGCCAGCGCUGCCACCUGCGGGCGGGACGCGGCUGGGGACGGGCUGAGCCGCCUCGGAGCCGCAUCCGGCCUCAGCAGCGGAGCCGAUGA